CCCAGCCGCUCCACCUAUGGUAGGGGAGGAGGCCAGCAGCUGUCUAAUGAAGGACGCUCACCUGGAACGCCCUCCAGAGGCCUCAUUGGACUAUGCCUGGCGCCGGCCAUUCCCUGUUGGGGAAGGGCCCCGGACACGCCCCCGGUCCUGGAACUUCAUCCUAGUGGCCCCCACUUCCGCCUCUGCGCUCUGGGGCUCCAGGCGCCUUGGGCGGGCCAGAGGGCCGGGGCCUGGAGCGCCCUCGGGCGAACCCCAGUCUCGCGCUGCGGAUGACCUUGGCUGAGCCUGGACUUCCUCGUUGCACUAGCAAGCAGCCUGCAGGUUCCAUCCACUGAGAGCACAGCGAGGAAGCUGUCAGCACGACGGCGGACAAAGUGCAUGCUGCACUGCCCUCAUGACCUAGGUGGUGCUUCCCAGUACCUACCACAGUAGGACCUAUCUUCGAGGAGACACACCAAGGAAGCCUACUUGCUCUCAUACAUAAGUAGUCCUGCAGGGCCCUGCACACUUGGACAGCUCUCAGAUGCAGAAAAUCACAAAAGCCAGAAGCUUCACGGACAGUAGGGAGAUUGCUUGGAGCCAACAGGAAGAAGGGGAAAUUGGAAAGCACAGAGAAGUGGCAGUCUGUCCUUCACCUGUCCUGUAGUUAGCAGUGGUCUCAGUACAGACAUCACGGUCUUCCACUCCACUUACCUUUCAGGAACUCUUCCCAGCAGCACCUGGGUCUCGGCAAAGACACGGAGUAGGCUUUGGCCUAAGUGUCCCUUCUCAGCUUCAGGGUCCCCUGCUACCAUCAUAACUCUGCCUUGCCCUCCCAACUUCUCCAUUAAGCUGGAGAAAAACUGGAUUUCAAUCUUCCAGCUUUUCAAUCCACCUUUACAAAGCCUCAUGCUUCUCACUUCUGCAGCAGCAGAAUGCCAAUUCCAAAUUACUGAAAUAAAACAGGAGCACACAAAACAGUGACUCUAAAAAUAAAUAACCUAUGGGCUGGGGCUGGGGCUCAGUGGUAGA
Molecule: non-coding RNA, 1011 nt
Organism: Marmota flaviventris (yellow-bellied marmot)
Lineage: Eukaryota; Metazoa; Chordata; Mammalia; Rodentia; Sciuridae
Source: RefSeq, a predicted model, not a curated record